AAUAGAUACCCUGGUAGUCCACGCCGUAAACGUUGGAUACUAGGUGUGGCGGUCUACCAACGACUGCCGUGCCGAAGCUAACGCAUUAAGUAUCCCGCCUGGGGAGUACGGCCGCAAGGCUAAAACUCAAAGGAAUUGACGGGUCCCCGCACAAGCGGCGGAGCAUGCGGCUUAAUUCGAUGCAACCCGAAGAACCUUACCUGGGUUUGACAUCAUGGGAAAAGCCGUAGAAAUACGGUGUCCGAAAGGGCCCAUGACAGGUGGUGCAUGGCUGUCGUCAGCUCGUGUCGUGAGAUGUUGGGUUAAGUCCCGCAACGAGCGCAACCCUUGUCCUAUGUUGCCAGCGGUUCGGCCGGGGACUCAUAGGAGACUGCCGGGGAUAACUCGGAGGAAGGUGAGGACGACGUCAAGUCAUCAUGCCCCUUAUAUCCAGAGCUGCACGCAUGCUACAAUGGCCGGUACAACGGGAAGCGACCCCGCGAGGGUGAGCGAAUCCCUUAAAGCCGGUCCCAGUUCGGAUUGAAGUCUGCAACUCGACUUC
Molecule: ribosomal RNA, 541 nt
Filed under: uncultured bacterium
Lineage: Bacteria
Description: bacterial SSU rRNA
Rfam family: Bacterial small subunit ribosomal RNA
Source: RNAcentral